CGACUAGCUGGCGGUGAUGGUUCCCGUAAAACCGCCAAGGGAUGAAAAGGGAAUACGGUGAGGCUUGCCGAUCAGCGCCAAAUCCGUAGCUGCCCCCGCAACUGUGAGCGGCGAGCAAUGUCGAAACACCACUGGCCCGUUUGGCCGGGAAGGACGGCAGAGCAGAGACCCGCAAGUCAGGAGACCUGCCAUCAUAUGUUCAACCAA
RNAcentral lists this non-coding RNA (207 nucleotides) under Roseovarius aestuarii. Lineage: Bacteria; Pseudomonadati; Pseudomonadota; Alphaproteobacteria; Rhodobacterales; Roseobacteraceae. The record is from RNAcentral.